Molecule: ribosomal RNA, 917 nt
Filed under: Staphylococcus warneri
Lineage: Bacteria; Bacillati; Bacillota; Bacilli; Caryophanales; Staphylococcaceae
Description: bacterial SSU rRNA
Rfam family: Bacterial small subunit ribosomal RNA
Source: RNAcentral
GAACGCUGGCGGCGUGCCUAAUACAUGCAAGUCGAGCGAACAGAUAAGGAGCUUGCUCCUUUGACGUUAGCGGCGGACGGGUGAGUAACACGUGGAUAACCUACCUAUAAGACUGGGAUAACUUCGGGAAACCGGAGCUAAUACCGGAUAACAUAUUGAACCGCAUGGUUCAAUAGUGAAAGGCGGCUUUGCUGUCACUUAUAGAUGGAUCCGCGCCGUAUUAGCUAGUUGGUAAGGUAACGGCUUACCAAGGCAACGAUACGUAGCCGACCUGAGAGGGUGAUCGGCCACACUGGAACUGAGACACGGUCCAGACUCCUACGGGAGGCAGCAGUAGGGAAUCUUCCGCAAUGGGCGAAAGCCUGACGGAGCAACGCCGCGUGAGUGAUGAAGGUCUUCGGAUCGUAAAACUCUGUUAUCAGGGAAGAACAAAUGUGUAAGUAACUGUGCACAUCUUGACGGUACCUGAUCAGAAAGCCACGGCUAACUACGUGCCAGCAGCCGCGGUAAUACGUAGGUGGCAAGCGUUAUCCGGAAUUAUUGGGCGUAAAGCGCGCGUAGGCGGUUUUUUAAGUCUGAUGUGAAAGCCCACGGCUCAACCGUGGAGGGUCAUUGGAAACUGGAAAACUUGAGUGCAGAAGAGGAAAGUGGAAUUCCAUGUGUAGCGGUGAAAUGCGCAGAGAUAUGGAGGAACACCAGUGGCGAAGGCGACUUUCUGGUCUGUAACUGACGCUGAUGUGCGAAAGCGUGGGGAUCAAACAGGAUUAGAUACCCUGGUAGUCCACGCCGUAAACGAUGAGUGCUAAGUGUUAGGGGGUUUCCGCCCCUUAGUGCUGCAGCUAACGCAUUAAGCACUCCGCCUGGGGAGUACGACCGCAAGGUUGAAACUCAAAGGAAUUGACGGGGACCCGCACAAG